Suricata suricatta (meerkat) is the source of this 442-nucleotide long non-coding RNA. RefSeq lists it as uncharacterized. The transcript has 3 exons. The record is from RefSeq and is a predicted model, not a curated record. Lineage: Eukaryota; Metazoa; Chordata; Mammalia; Carnivora; Herpestidae.
ACCGGCACCGUGGUAGAUUCAUCUCUAACCGGAAGAGGAGGGGUUUGUUCCCAGGCCUGACUCUGAGCGAACACAGAAGAAAGUCAGUUUGUUCUCUUGUCCACCAGAGGCCCUGCCUAUCCUCUUGGGAUCAGAAAACUAUGAAACUGGUGAUAUUCACGGCAGAACUGGAGUGGAUUAACCAAGAUGGUUCAUGUGGAGGCCUUUCCACACCCUCUUGUGAUUUCGUCUAAACAGGGAAGCCAGAAGCUCCAUGAUCCGGUUCUUCUUGAUUAAUUUCCUGUGCAUUUCCCAAGUUCUUCUUCUGUUGUUCGGAUACAAUUUUCUCCUGUGUCAUUUCUGCUUUUCCUGCCUAUAGCGAAAUUGUAACCAAGUUGAUCCUUUGUAUCCAUUUCUUCUUUUCACUCUUGGUUUAUAACCUGUCCUUGUAGCUCAUUGAGUA